Non-coding RNA from Pedobacter ginsenosidimutans, 70 nucleotides. Lineage: Bacteria; Pseudomonadati; Bacteroidota; Sphingobacteriia; Sphingobacteriales; Sphingobacteriaceae. The record is from Rfam.
ACCUAAACCCGAUUGAAAUGGAAAGCUCCCGCUUCUUCUGCGGGACUUAUAACGGAAAGCGGGAGGAGAC